Molecule: ribosomal RNA, 916 nt
Filed under: uncultured bacterium
Lineage: Bacteria
Description: bacterial SSU rRNA
Rfam family: Bacterial small subunit ribosomal RNA
Source: RNAcentral
ACGCUGGCGGCAGGCUUAACACAUGCAAGUCGAACGGUAACAGGAGAAAGCUUGCUUUCUUGCUGACGAGUGGCGGACGGGUGAGUAAUGCUUGGGAAUCUGGCUUAUGGAGGGGGAUAACGACGGGAAACUGUCGCUAAUACCGCGUAGAGUCGAGAGACGAAAGUGCGGGACCGCAAGGCCGCAUGCCAUAGGAUGAGCCCAAGUGGGAUUAGGUAGUUGGUGGGGUAAUAGCCUACCAAGCCGACGAUCUCUAGCUGGUCUGAGAGGAUGACCAGCCACACCAGGACUGAGACACGGCCCGGACUCCUACGGGAGGCAGCAGUGGGGAAUAUUGCGCAAUGGGGGCAACCCUGACGCAGCCAUGCCGCGUGAAUGAAGAAGGCCUUCGGGUUGUAAAGUUCUUUCGGUAUUGAGGAAGGUUGUUGUGUUAAUAGCACGACAAAUUGACGUUAAAUACAGAAGAAGCACCGGCUAACUCCGUGCCAGCAGCCGCGGUAAUACGGAGGGUGCGAGCGUUAAUCGGAAUAACUGGGCGUAAAGGGCACGCAGGCGGACUUUUAAGUGAGGUGUGAAAUCCCCGGGCUUAACCUGGGAAUUGCAUUUCAGACUGGGAGUCUAGAGUACUUUAGGGAGGGGUAGAAUUCCACGUGUAGCGGUGAAAUGCGUAGAGAUGUGGAGGAAUACCGAAGGCGAAGGCAGCCCCUUGGGAAUGUACUGACGCUCAUGUGCGAAAGCGUGGGGAGCAAACAGGAUUAGAUACCCUGGUAGUCCACGCUGUAAACGCUGUCGAUUUGGGGAUUGGGCUUUAAGCUUGGUGCCCGAAGCUAACGUGAUAAAUCGACCGCCUGGGGAGUACGGCCGCAAGGUUAAAACUCAAAUGAAUUGACGGGGGCCCGCACAAGCGGUGGAGCAU